RNAcentral lists this ribosomal RNA (245 nucleotides) under uncultured bacterium. RNAcentral describes it as "partial 16S ribosomal RNA". It matches the Rfam family "Bacterial small subunit ribosomal RNA", at positions 524 to 768 of the family's 1533-position model. The record is from RNAcentral.
UACGUAGGGGGCGAGCGUUGUCCGAAGUUACUGGGCGUAAAGCGCGCGUAGGCGGCUUAUUAAGUGGCCGGUGAAAUCCCCGGGCUCAACUCGGGGUGGUCUGGUCAUACUGGUAAGCUAGAGUGCGGGAGGGGAGAGCGGAACUCCUGGUGUAGCGGUGAUAUGCGUAGAGAUCAGGAAGAACACCCGUGGCGAAGGCGGCUCUCUGGACCGUAACUGACGCUGAGGUGCGAAAGCCAGGGGAG